AAAUUGUAUUUGAAGUAAAAAAAUGAAAAAAAAUUGAAGGAUAUAUAUAAAAAAAGGGGUUUGUAUUUAGCAUUCAAGUUUCCGAUUCACAACUUCUCAUUGUUAUCAUUCCUCUAUCUUCACGCCACAUUCCGAAAACCAAUAUAAUUCUUUUCAACCAACCUUUUAGCACAACAUUAAUUCCCUUGAAACCCUUUAAAGCCA
Molecule: long non-coding RNA, 204 nt
Filed under: Gossypium raimondii (Peruvian cotton)
Lineage: Eukaryota; Viridiplantae; Streptophyta; Magnoliopsida; Malvales; Malvaceae
Description: long non-coding RNA (GRAI_LNC002192)
Source: RNAcentral